GUACAUGUAUUAGGACAAGAUUAUCUAUUGGUCCUUAAUAUUGUAUUUUAUUACGAAUGUACAAAAUUUUUUCUCUAAAAAAAUUUUUGAUUGGUCCCAAAUUGUAAUUCAGAGCCUUGAGCUGGAAAAAGUACCGUCAAAAUAAAUAUUAAAAUUUUAGUAAUGUGUUUUUAUUUCACCAAAUCUAUACAGCGCCUUGUUUCUAUUUUAUUUUAAUUUUCUGAAAAAUUAGAAGUAAACAAAGACGUCUGUAUGGCGUUUUCCUCAUAGUGUGCAGCAGCUGGUUAUAAAUUUACCCUAGAGCUCAAUCAUGUACGCACAAAUAUCAGCAGAUGCACAGCGAGUGAGGGAGCAACUUAGACAAUUGCGUACGCAGCUUUGCCAAUUGUAGAAGGCUUCUUCCUCGGGUUACUGUAGAUUUACCCUAAUAUCUGUUUAUCUUUCUCGAACGCGAAUUUGAGAUUUCUGAAGAAUAAAGUUACAAGGGAAGAUGCAAGUUUGGAAAAUGCACAAGCCCAUUAUUAUUUUGCUAAGAACGUUUUGUAAAACUUAACAUCAUAUGCUAUCUCGGGAAUUUAAUUUGUUAAGUUUUUUUUUUUGUUUAGCAAAUAUUGAAACUAUUGAUAUUAGCUCGGGAUGUUAAUUGGUUAAGUUUUUUUGGUUUAGCCAAUAUUGAAACUAUAUCUAUCAUCCUUUGACAUUUUCAAUAGCAAUUUUAUAUUUAGCAAUGAAAUAUAUAACUUUUAUGA
Capsicum annuum is the source of this 749-nucleotide long non-coding RNA. RefSeq lists it as uncharacterized. NCBI's taxonomy places the organism in Eukaryota, Viridiplantae, Streptophyta, Magnoliopsida, Solanales, Solanaceae. The transcript is spliced from 2 exons. The record is from RefSeq and is a predicted model, not a curated record.